Chrysochloris asiatica (Cape golden mole) is the source of this 2159-nucleotide RNA transcript. It is a transcript of the gene named protein tyrosine phosphatase, receptor type, A pseudogene, with no coding region annotated. The transcript has a single exon. The record is from RefSeq and is a predicted model, not a curated record. Lineage: Eukaryota; Metazoa; Chordata; Mammalia; Afrosoricida; Chrysochloridae.
AUGGAUUUCUGGUUCAUUCAUUUUCUUCUUGGCAGUGGUCUGAUAUGUGUCGAUGCCUUAAUGCUACCACAGUUUCGCCUUCAGUGCAAGGUACAAGAUCAACAAAAGCAUCAACAACAGCACCAAUUAAAGAAGAGACCAAAACUUCAAAUCCAAAUUCAUCAGUAACUUCUCUUUCUGUGGCCACAACAUUCAGCCCAAAUCUAACUCUGGGCCCCACCUUUGUCACCACUGUGAAUUCUUCAGACUCUGACAAUGGGACCGCACGAACAGCAAGCACCUAUUCUAGAAUUACUACAGUUUCACCAAAUGGGACCUGGCUUCCAGGUAGCCCAGUCACAGAUGUCGGAACAGAUUCAUGGGAGGGGAAUUCCUGCACUGCAGCAACCACUCCAGAAACCUUUCCUCCUUCAGAUGAGACGACAGUUAUCGCAGUGAUGGUGGCCCUGCCCUCUCUGCUGGUCAUUGUGUUUAUUAUCAUAGUUCUGUACAUGUUAAGGUUUAAGAUAUACAAGCAAGCUGGGAGCCAUUCCAAUUCUUUCCGCUUAUCUAAUGGCCAAACAGUGGAUGUGGAGGCCCAGAGUGUGCCACUUCUAGCCAGGUCCCCAAGUACCAACAGGAAGUACCCACCCCUGCCUGUGGACAAACUGGAGGAGGAAAUUAACCGGAGAAUGGCUGAUGACAGUAAGCUCUUCAGAGAGGAAUUCAAUGUUCUUCCUGCUUGUCCUAUCCAGGCCACCUGUGAGGCUGCCUCCAAGGAAAAAAACUGUUAUGUGAACAUCUUGCCUUAUGACCACUCUAGAGUACACCUGACACCAGUUGAAGGUGUUCCAGAUUCUGAUUAUAUCAAUGCUCCAUUCAUCAAUGGCUACCAAGAAAAGAACAAAUUCAUUGCUGCACAAGGACCAAAAGAAGACACAGUGAAUGAUUUCUGGAGGAUGAUCUGGGAACAAAACACAGCCACAAUAGUCAUGGUGACCAGUCUGAAGGAGAGAAAAGAAUGUAAGUGUGCCCAAUACUGGCUAGACCAAGGCUGCUGGACCUAUGGGAAUAUCCGUGUGUCAGUAGAAGAUGUGACUGUCCUGGUAGACUACGCAGUCCGAAAGUUCUGCAUCCAGCAGGUGGGCGACGUGACCAACAGAAAACCACAGCUCCUCAUCACACAGUUCCACUUUACCAGCUGGCCAGACUUUGGGGUGCCUUUCACCCCUUUUGGCAUGCUUAAGUUUCUCAAGAAGAUGCAGUAUGUCUUCAUAUACCAAGCCCUUCUGGAACAUUAUCUCUAUGGGGAUACAGAACUGGAAGUAACCUCUCUAGAAACCCACCUGCAGAAAAUUUACAACAAAAUCCCAGGGACCAGCAACAGUGGAUUAGAGGAAGAGUUUAAGAAGUUAACGUCAAUCAAAAUCCAGAAUGACAAGAUGCGGAAUGGAAACCUUCCAGGCAACAUGAAGAUCAUUACAGAUCAUUCCAUAUGAAUUCAACAGAGUGAUCAUUCCAGUAAAGAGAGGUGAGGAGAACACAGACUAUGUGAACGCAUCCUUCAUUGAUGGGUACCAGCAGAAGGACUCCUAUAUCGCCAGCCAGGGUCCCCUUCUUCACACAAUUGAGGACUUUUGGUGAAUGAUCUGGGAGUGGAAAUCCUGCUCCAUUGUGAUGCUCACAGAACUGGAGGAGAGAGGCCAGGAGACGUGUGCCCAGUACUGGCCAUCGGAUGGAUUGGUGUCCUAUGGAGACAUCACAGCAGAGCUGAAGAAAGAGGAGGAAUGUGAGAGCUAUACUGUCCGAGACCUUCUGGUCACUAACACCAGGGAGAACAAGAGCCAGCAGAUCCGGCAGUUCCACUUCCACGGCUGGCCUGAAGUGGACAUCCCCAGUGAUGGGAAGGGCAUGAUCAGCAUCAUUGCAGCUGUGCAAAAGCAGCAGCGGCAGUCAGGAAACCACCCCAUCACCACUCCGGAAGGACGGGGACCUUCUGUGCCCUGAGCACAGUCCUGGAGCCGGUGAAGGCAGAGAGGAUUUUGGAUGUUUUCCAGACCCUCAAGAGCUUGCGGCUGCAGAGGCCAUACAUGGUCCAGACACUGGAACAGUAUGAGUUCUGCUACAAGGUGGUACAGGAGUAUAUUGAUGCAUUCUCAGAUUAUGCCAACUUUAAGUAA